RNAcentral lists this ribosomal RNA (450 nucleotides) under Aricidea simplex. RNAcentral describes it as "partial large subunit ribosomal RNA". It matches the Rfam family "Bacterial large subunit ribosomal RNA", at positions 1943 to 2605 of the family's 2925-position model. The record is from RNAcentral. Lineage: Eukaryota; Metazoa; Annelida; Polychaeta; Paraonidae.
UGACCGUGCUAAGGUAGCAUAAUAAUUUGCCUUCUAAUUAAUGGCUAGUAUGAAUGGACACACGAAAAUUAAACUGUCUCUAAAAUUUUCCUAAAACUUAGUCUUUAAGUGCAGAAACUUAAAUAAAACUAAAGGACAAGAAGACCCUGUAGAGCCUAAAAUUACUAAUUUUUAAAACAAAAUUUAUUUAAAUCUUUUAUAAAAUAUAAAUUUUUAGUUGGGGCAACUAGAAAAUACCCAAAUCUAUUCUAUAACACCCGGUUAACACACCUCACAAUUGAUCCAUUGUUUAUGAUUACCUGCACAGGCUACCUCAGGGAUAACAGACUAAUUCUUCUUAAAAGCCCUAAUUAACAGAAGAGAUUGGCACCUCGAUGUUGGCUUAGGAUCUCCUAAAGGCGCAGAAGCUUUAUAGGUAGGUUUGUUCAACCUUUAAAAUCCUACGUGAUC